This 226-nucleotide ribosomal RNA is filed under the name Staphylococcus aureus. RNAcentral describes it as "partial 16S ribosomal RNA". It matches the Rfam family "Bacterial small subunit ribosomal RNA", at positions 20 to 235 of the family's 1533-position model. Lineage: Bacteria; Bacillati; Bacillota; Bacilli; Caryophanales; Staphylococcaceae. The record is from RNAcentral.
UGGCUCAGGAUGAACGCUGGCGGCGUGCCUAAUACAUGCAAGUCGAGCGAACGGACGAGAAGCUUGCUUCUCUGAUGUUAGCGGCGGACGGGUGAGUAACACGUGGAUAACCUACCUAUAAGACUGGGAUAACUUCGGGAAACCGGAGCUAAUACCGGAUAAUAUUUUGAACCGCAUGGUUCAAAAGUGAAAGACGGUCUUGCUGUCACUUAUAGAUGGAUCCGCG